CAGAGCGUGAGACUCGGCCCGGGCGUGUCCCGCGUGUCGAGUCGACCCUCCACCCGUGUUGACUUUAUCUGUUGCUUUGGCGGGCCAGGUGCCUGGCGCCGACCGGCUGUGUGCUGGCUCGCGUCCGCCAAAGACCCAACUUAACUCGUGUUGUCGUGUAGUCUGAGGAAGAAAUAUUGAAUUGUUA
This 187-nucleotide unclassified non-coding RNA is filed under the name Golovinomyces cynoglossi. RNAcentral's name for it is "sequence contains ITS1". Lineage: Eukaryota; Fungi; Ascomycota; Leotiomycetes; Helotiales; Erysiphaceae. The record is from RNAcentral.